RNAcentral lists this ribosomal RNA (254 nucleotides) under uncultured bacterium. RNAcentral's name for it is "partial 16S ribosomal RNA". It matches the Rfam family "Bacterial small subunit ribosomal RNA", at positions 524 to 776 of the family's 1533-position model. The record is from RNAcentral.
UACGUAGGGGGCAAGCGUUGUCCGGAAUCAUUGGGCGUAAAGAGCGUGUAGGCGGCCCGGUAAGUCCGCUGUGAAAAGUCCAGGGCUCAACCCUGGGAUGCCGGUGGAUACUGUCGGGCUAGAGUCCGGAAGAGGCGAGUGGAAUUCCCGGUGUAGCGGUGAAAUGCGCAGAUAUCGGGAGGAACACCAAUGGCGAAGGCAGCUCGCUGGGACGGUACUGACGCUGAGGCGCGAAAGCGUGGGGAGCAAACAGG